This 337-nucleotide ribosomal RNA is filed under the name uncultured bacterium. RNAcentral's name for it is "bacterial SSU rRNA". It matches the Rfam family "Bacterial small subunit ribosomal RNA", at positions 8 to 336 of the family's 1533-position model. The record is from RNAcentral.
AGAGUUUGAUCCUGGCUCAGGACGAACGCUGGCGGCGUGCUUAACACAUGCAAGUCUACGAGAAAAAGGUAGCAAUAUCUUGAUUAAAGUGGCGCACGGGUGAGUAACACGUGAGCAAUCUGCCCUUGGAUUUGGAAUAACUCGUCGAAAGACGUGCUAAUACCGAAUGACACGAGAGUAUCGCAUGAUACCUUCGUUAAAGCUGCAGCAAUGUAGCGUCCGAGGAUGAGCUUGCGUCUGAUUAGCUAGUUGGUAGGGUAACGGCCUACCAAGGCAACGAUCAGUAGCUGGUCUGAGAGGAUGAUCAGCCACACUGGAACUGAGACACGGUCCAGAC